AAUAUUGCGCAAUGGGGGAAACCCUGACGCAGCAACGCCGCGUGAGCGAGGAAGGCCUUCGGGUCGUAAAGCUCUGUCUAGAGGGAUGAAACAUGACAGUACCUCUGGAGGAAGCCCCGGCUAACUACGUGCCAGCAGCCGCGGUAAUACGUAGGGGGCAAGCGUUGUCCGGAUUUACUGGGCGUAAAGGGCGCGUAGGCGGUAGUAUAAGUCAGAUGUGAAAGGCUACGGCUUAACCGUAGUUAGCAUUUGAAACUAAAAGGCUUGAGUGCAGGAGAGGAGAGUGGAAUUCCUAGUGUAGCGGUGAAAUGCGUAGAUAUUAGGAGGAACACCAGUGGCGAAGGCGACUCUCUGGACUGCAACUGACGCUGAGGCACGAAAGCGUGGGGAGCGAACA
Molecule: ribosomal RNA, 397 nt
Filed under: uncultured bacterium
Lineage: Bacteria
Description: partial 16S ribosomal RNA
Rfam family: Bacterial small subunit ribosomal RNA
Source: RNAcentral